GACGAACGCUGGCGGCGCGCUUAACACAUGCAAGUCGAGCGAUGAAAGCCUUAUGAACUAUUCGUAGUGAUUGGGGCCGGAUUAGCGGCGGACGGGUGAGUAACGCGUGAGCAACCUGCCUUAAACAACGGGAUAGCCUCGGGAAACCGGGAUUAAUACCGUAUGAGACCCCGCCUUCACAUGAAGAAGAGGUUAAAGAUUUAUCGGUUUAAGAUGGGCUCGCGUCUGAUUAGCUAGUUGGUGAGAUAAAAGCCCACCAAGGCAACGAUCAGUAACCGGCUUGAGAGAGUGAACGGUCACAUUGGAACUGAGGCACGGUCCAAACUCCUACGGGAGGCAGCAGUGGGGAAUAUUGCACAAUGGGGGAAACCCUGAUGCAGCGACGCCGCGUGAGCGAUGAAGGAAUUCGUUUCGUAAAGCUCUGUCCAAGGGGAAGAUAAUGACAGUACCCUUGGAGGAAGCCCCGGCUAAAUACGUGCCAGCCGCCGCCGUAA
This 494-nucleotide ribosomal RNA is filed under the name uncultured bacterium. RNAcentral's name for it is "partial 16S ribosomal RNA". It matches the Rfam family "Bacterial small subunit ribosomal RNA", at positions 28 to 523 of the family's 1533-position model. The record is from RNAcentral.